UACGUAGGGGGCAAGCGUUGUCCGGAAUCAUUGGGCGUAAAGCGCGCGUAGGCGGCUAGAUCAGUCUGCUGUAAAAGUCAAAGGCUCAACCUUUGAAAGCCGGUGGAUACUGUCUAGCUAGAGUCCGGAAGAGGAGAGUGGAAUUCCUGGUGUAGCGGUGAAAUGCGCAGAUAUCAGGAAGAACACCCGUGGCGAAGGCGGCUCUCUGGGACGGUACUGACGCUGAGACGCGAAAGCGUGGGGAGCGAACAGG
Molecule: ribosomal RNA, 253 nt
Filed under: uncultured bacterium
Lineage: Bacteria
Description: partial 16S ribosomal RNA
Rfam family: Bacterial small subunit ribosomal RNA
Source: RNAcentral